AUGCCGCUCCCACCUCGCCCCCCUUCCCUUUCGCCACGCGGCUCCACCCCACGCGCCGUGCCCCACGACCGCGUGCAACCCUCCCCUUGCUGCCUUUUUCCCACGUCCAGCACCGCUCCAUGCAGCACCUCGCUCCCACCGCGUGCCGUCGCCAUCGCACCCCCACAAAACCCUCAUCAUAUGCGCAUGCACGACAAGUCUGGCUAUGCCCUUCCUAAAACUCAUACUAAUCUCACCGUAGAUAUCCUCUCCCCCAUCCCUCCAACCUACCGCACUGCCCUAAAAGACCCCCGCUGGUAUGCCUCUAUGCGUGAGGAAUAUGAUGCACUGAUUCAUAAUAAAACCUGGUGUUUAGUGUCACGUCCUGCAGGUGUGAACGUCGUCAGCGGCAAAUGGAUCUACAGGCACAAGUUCAACGCCGACGGCUCUCUGACACGCCACAAGGCUCGCUGGGUCCUGCGUGGGUUCACCCAGCGUGAGGGCGUCGACUACACCAAGACCUUCAGCCCCGUCGUCAAGCCAUCCACCAUCCAGGUCGUUCUCAGCCUCACCGUCAGCAGCUCGUGGCCAAUCCACCAACUGGACGUGAAGAACGCAUUUCUUCACGGCCGGCUCGACGAGGUCGUCUACAACGAGCAACCUUCCGGCUUCCUUGAUGCCGACCGCCCGGAUCAUGUCUAUCGUCUCCAGCGCUCCCUGUACGGCCUGAAGCAGGCCCCCCGCGCCUGGUUCUCGCGGUUCAUGGUGCACCUCGGUGAGGAACCUAGAGCGGAGGAACCCGGUGUACCUCUCGAGCAACCCGGUGCAGCACCAGCGAACCCGGUGAACCACGAGCAACCCGGUGCAGCACCAGCGAACAAAGCAUGUGGAAAUCGACCUACAUUUCGUCCGCGAACGGGUCAGCAUCGGCGACGUCAAGGUUCUGCAUGUUCCCACUUCAUCUCAGUUCGCGGACAUCUUCACUAA
This 966-nucleotide ribosomal RNA is filed under the name Triticum aestivum (bread wheat). RNAcentral's name for it is "partial small subunit ribosomal RNA". The record is from RNAcentral. Lineage: Eukaryota; Viridiplantae; Streptophyta; Magnoliopsida; Poales; Poaceae.